This 479-nucleotide ribosomal RNA is filed under the name uncultured bacterium. RNAcentral describes it as "partial 16S ribosomal RNA". It matches the Rfam family "Bacterial small subunit ribosomal RNA", at positions 28 to 507 of the family's 1533-position model. The record is from RNAcentral.
GACGAACGCUGGCGGCGUGCUUAACACAUGCAAGUCGAACGAAGCUUGAUUACGGAUUCUUCGGAUGAAGUAUGAUAUGACUGAGUGGCGGACGGGUGAGUAACGCGUGAGUAACCUGCCCUUCAGAGGGGGAUAGCGUUUGGAAACGAACGGUAAUACCGCAUAAUGUAUUUUGACCGCAUGAUCGAAAUACCAAAGAUUUAUCGCUGAAGGACGGACUCGCGUCUGAUUAGGUAGUUGGUGGGGUAACGGCCUACCAAGCCGACGAUCAGUAGCCGGACUGAGAGGUUGAUCGGCCACAUUGGGACUGAGACACGGCCCAGACUCCUACGGGAGGCAGCAGUGGGGAAUAUUGCACAAUGGGCGCAAGCCUGAUGCAGCAACGCCGCGUGAAGGAAGACGGUUUUCGGAUUGUAAACUUCUGUUCUUAGUGAAGAAUAAUGACGGUAGCUAAGGAGCAAGCCACGGCUAACUACGUG